UCACCAAAAUAUUCGCCGUCGCCUAAGAGGGCAAUCCGUAAGUUCUCACCAUGAGGUCCCUUGCUGAUGACCUCAGCCUGUCCGCUGGCUACGAUGAAGAAGCGCUGCUUAUCCUUGCCUUCCUCCACGAACAGCUUAUCAACUUCCACCUCCUUUGCCUCGAAAGAGCUUACCAGACGAUUCAGAAUCUCAUCGUCGAACUCAGAGAACAGGGGGAUCGCCUUCAGGUCCUUGGCUGUAAACGAGGGCACGCCAUUCACAUACUGGAUGGGAAGGCGGUCGUUCUUUCGGAGUUCUACCUUCGUGCGGUUUACACGGAAGGUGCCGCCGCUGACCUGUACCCAGGGAAGCAACUUGAGGAGUAAUCUCGGUGUGAUACUGCCCAUCUGCGGGGCGGUCUUGGUGGUGGUAGCCAGUCUUCUGGCGGUAGCAGU
Molecule: non-coding RNA, 434 nt
Filed under: uncultured Prevotella sp.
Lineage: Bacteria; Pseudomonadati; Bacteroidota; Bacteroidia; Bacteroidales; Prevotellaceae
Source: RNAcentral